This 444-nucleotide ribosomal RNA is filed under the name uncultured Streptococcus sp. Its description in RNAcentral is "bacterial SSU rRNA". It matches the Rfam family "Bacterial small subunit ribosomal RNA", at positions 936 to 1382 of the family's 1533-position model. Lineage: Bacteria; Bacillati; Bacillota; Bacilli; Lactobacillales; Streptococcaceae. The record is from RNAcentral.
AUGAUGUGGUUAAUUCGAUGCAACGCGAAAAACCUUACCCACCUUUGACAUGUACGGAAUUCUUCAGAGAUGAAGGAGUGCUCGAAAGAGAACCGUAACACAGGUGCUGCAUGGCUGUCGUCAGCUCGUGUCGUGAGAUGUUGGGUUAAGUCCCGCAACGAGCGCAACCCUUGUCAUUAGUUGCUACAUUCAGUUGGGCACUCUAAUGAGACUGCCGGUGACAAACCGGAGGAAGUGGGGAUGACGUCAAAUCAUCAUGCCCCUUAUGACCUGGGCUACACACGUGCUACAAUGGUUGGUACAACGAGUUGCGAGUCGGUGACGGCGAGCUAAUCUCUUAAAGCCAAUCUCAGUUCGGAUUGUAGGCUGCAACUCGCCUACAUGAAGUCGGAAUCGCUAGUAAUCGCGGAUCAGCACGCCGCGGUGAAUACGUUCCCGGGCCUU